RNAcentral lists this long non-coding RNA (1080 nucleotides) under Scophthalmus maximus (turbot). RNAcentral describes it as "lncRNA (ENSSMAG00000028948.1)". Lineage: Eukaryota; Metazoa; Chordata; Actinopteri; Pleuronectiformes; Scophthalmidae. The record is from RNAcentral.
GGAGAGAUAAAGAUCUACCCACACAGUCCUUGCCAAGGCUCGGAGGACUGUUUCUCACUGUACAACUCGUGCUGUUUUCACACAGCUCUGCACUUCACCUGGUGGACCUCAUCCAGACAAGUAUGGCAAGUUGUACAUGAAGAAGUCCAGGACCUGGAGGUGAUACACACUGAAGGUUGUCUUCCACAGACCAGAGCAACGAGACCAGAUGAUCCCCGUUACCAGCUAGAGAAGCAAGUCAGCAGAGGACCAGGACCACUGCCUAAAGAGUCGACGACAGCACAGCCUGACCCGUCAGCCAACAGACCUGCUUUGACAUGCUAGGAAACCCUGUGCAGACAGUUUCUUCCUUUUUUGUACAUAUGUUGUUUAUGCUAAUAUUAUAACAUAUAUAUGUUAUAUUGUAUGAUGUUCCAAAAAACAUUGUGUUUUCAUUAUUUGUGGACACAGGAGUCAUGAAGUUGCCCACAGCACUUUCUUUCCACGUCUGUGGGCAGUUCUGGCAGACACAAGUAGGUUGACCGGCAACGGGACGGCCUGGUGUAGGAGCAUUUACUGAUGUCAAGUGUAGUAAAACAGCAGGCUUGUGUCACAUCACUGCUCCAAGCUCAGUCCUUGAAUUCUGGCCUGUACAGUAACACAUGAUUAAAUAAGAUAAUAAUAAUAAUAAUGAAUUUAAUUUAUAGAUACAUAAUAAAUUAAUAGAUGUAUGAUUAGAUACAUUGAACAGAGUCUGGAGUAAACUCAUAGUCUGAGCUAACAACACUCUCAUCGUGGAAACUCCGACUUGCUAAACAACAUGUUAUGAGUCCUGUACAAAAUUCACCGUCAUUGUGUCAAACAUAGUAACAGAAAACAAGGGCAGAAAGCUACAAAGGUGCUGCAGCUGUUUCAUCGUUACACAAUAUGGCUGAAAUGCGCUGAAGUUUAAAAAUAUAAACUCAAAACCAACUUUGUCUGUGUCGUAGGCCUACUGCUAACCUUGUUUAUGUUUUAGCUUAACCUGCAGCAGCCUGUUGCUAGCUAGCUAGCAACAAGUUAGUGCAUCAGAACUCUAUUUUCUAGGAUAUUUUCCAAACA